CACCUACGGGUGGCAGCAGUGGGGAAUAUUGGACAAUGGGCGAAAGCCUGAUCCAGCAAUGCCGCGUGUGUGAAGAAGGCCUUCGGGUUGUAAAGCACUUUUAUCAGGAACGAAAUCGGCAGGGUUAAUAACCGUGUCGUCUGACGGUACCUGAGGAAUAAGCACCGGCUAACUUCGUGCCAGCAGCCGCGGUAAUACGAAGGGUGCAAGCGUUAAUCGGAAUUACUGGGCGUAAAGGGUGCGUAGGCGGUUAGUUAAGUCUGUUGUGAAAUCCCCGGGCUCAACCUGGGAAUGGCAAUGGAUACUGGCUGGCUAGAGUGUGUCAGAGGAUGGUGGAAUUCCCGGUGUAGCGGUGAAAUGCGUAGAGAUCGGGAGGAACAUCAGUGGCGAAGGCGGCCAUCUGGGACAACACUGACGCUGAAGCACGAAAGCGUGGGGAGCAAACAGGAUUAGAUACCCUGGUAGUCCACGCCCUAAACGAUGCGAACUGGACGUUGGUCUCAACUCGGAGAUCAGUGUCGAAGCUAACGCGUUAAGUUCGCCGCCUGGGGAGUACGGUCGCAAGACUGAAACUCAAAGGAAUUGACGGGGGCCCGCACAAGCGGUGGAGUAUGUGGUUUAAUUCGAUGCAACGCGAAGAACCUUACCUG
This 650-nucleotide ribosomal RNA is filed under the name uncultured bacterium. RNAcentral describes it as "bacterial SSU rRNA". It matches the Rfam family "Bacterial small subunit ribosomal RNA", at positions 335 to 977 of the family's 1533-position model. The record is from RNAcentral.